RNAcentral lists this ribosomal RNA (400 nucleotides) under uncultured Spiroplasma sp. Its description in RNAcentral is "bacterial SSU rRNA". It matches the Rfam family "Bacterial small subunit ribosomal RNA", at positions 97 to 484 of the family's 1533-position model. Lineage: Bacteria; Bacillati; Mycoplasmatota; Mollicutes; Entomoplasmatales; Spiroplasmataceae. The record is from RNAcentral.
GGCGAACGGGUGAGUAACACGUAUCUAACCUACCAUUUAGUGGGGAAUAACUGUUGGAAACGACAGCUAAUACCGCAUAUGUUAUUUAUUUGCAAUGAUAAAUAAUGAAAGGAGCAUUUGCUUCGCUAAUUGAUGGGGAUGCGGCGCAUUAACUAGUUGGUAAGGUAAUGGCUUACCAAGGUAACGAUGCGUAGCCGAUCUGAGAGGAUGAACGGCCACAUUGGGACUGAGACACGGCCCAAACUUCUACGGAAGGCAGCAGUAGGGAAUUUUUCACAAUGGGCGAAAGCCUGAUGGAGCAAUGCCGCGUGACUGAUGAAGGUCUUCGGAUUGUAAAGGUCUGUUGUAAGGGAAGAAGUGCUAGAAUAGGAAAUGAUUUUAGUAUCGACCAUACCUUACC